CUCAUCUACAAUAACAUCAUGAAUAAAAUCAAUAACCAAGAAUAAAAAAAGUACAAUAAUAAAUUUUAUUCUUCGAAUGUUGCCUAUUGCACGCAUGUUCUCCAUCUCUUGCUUCAUUCUGUUAAUCUUUCAAAGUAAUCCGGGGAUUAUUUGUGUUCACGUAUCACACAUUAGAGGAUCAUACCAAGCAAAAAACUGACAAACAUUCCUCUGUAAACAAAGAAAUUUUUAAUUUUAUGUGCAAGUAAAUAGAAUGGAAGAGAUAUAUAACAAAAUUGGAACCCUAACACACUUACUUUUUCAUAAUUUGGACAUGAGAUCCUGGAUUUGAAUCGGUCCAUGUUGUUUUAAGUUGAGCUCGCCUCUCACAAUCACAUAGUGCAUUCAUGGUUACAAAUACAAAACAAAAAAACACAAUAAAUCAUUUAUUUAUUUUUGAAUGCAAAUCAACAAUAAAUCAUUUAUUUUGGGUGCAAAUCAACAAUAAAUCAUUCAUUUACUGUGAACCUAUUUUUACAUCUUUUUUCUCCUACAUUUGCCCUUAGCACAUUUUUCUCUUUCUUCCCCUCCUCCCUUUACCAGCCUUAUUCACAAUAUUACAAGUAUUAACACUAGCAUCAACAUCAUACAAGUUUGACUACUGAAUUUGCAUUUUAGCAUGGAGAAAAUUAUUAGCACCUACAAUUAUUAAAGAAAAAAUAAUUGAGAACUAAGAAAAAUAUUAGUCAAAACAAUACCAACUAGAUUCAAC
This 751-nucleotide long non-coding RNA is filed under the name Panax ginseng (ginseng). RNAcentral's name for it is "long non-coding RNA (PGIN_LNC008715)". Lineage: Eukaryota; Viridiplantae; Streptophyta; Magnoliopsida; Apiales; Araliaceae. The record is from RNAcentral.